GAUCGUCACGGAGGGGCGCUCGGCGCUCUCGGGCAGCACCGGCGUCGCGCGGCGUGCGAAGCGGCCGGUCAUGGCGGCGGCCAUCA
This 86-nucleotide transfer RNA is filed under the name Methylobacterium brachythecii. Its description in RNAcentral is "tRNA-Pro". Lineage: Bacteria; Pseudomonadati; Pseudomonadota; Alphaproteobacteria; Hyphomicrobiales; Methylobacteriaceae. The record is from RNAcentral.